This is a small nucleolar RNA of Megalops cyprinoides (Indo-Pacific tarpon), 140 nucleotides long. RefSeq annotates it as small nucleolar RNA SNORA8. The record is from RefSeq and is a predicted model, not a curated record. Lineage: Eukaryota; Metazoa; Chordata; Actinopteri; Elopiformes; Megalopidae. The transcript has a single exon.
AGCACUGUAUGGUAUCUGCAUCCAGCUGUUCCCCUGAGCUGGACUGUUCAUUACGCAGUGCAAGAGCAACUCAGCAUCUGGCAUCGUUGGUCUCCGUGCUUCAUUGUGCCCGGGGUCCUGGUAUUUGUGCUGAGACAAGC